GAUCAUAGCUCAGGAUGAACGCUAGCUACAGGCUUAACACAUGCAAGUCGAGGGGCAGCAUGAACUUAGCUUGCUAAGUUUGAUGGCGACCGGCGCACGGGUGAGUAACGCGUAUCCAACCUACCCUUGUCCAUCGGAUAACCCGUCGAAAGGCGGCCUAACACGAUAUGCGGUUCACCGCAGGCAUCUAACGUGAACGAAAUGUGAGGGAGAAGGAUGGGGAUGCGUCUGAUUAG
This 236-nucleotide ribosomal RNA is filed under the name uncultured bacterium. RNAcentral's name for it is "partial 16S ribosomal RNA". It matches the Rfam family "Bacterial small subunit ribosomal RNA", at positions 15 to 244 of the family's 1533-position model. The record is from RNAcentral.